CUGCAGUCGAGCGACUGAUUAGAAGCUUGCUUCUAUGACGUUAGCGGCGGACGGGUGAGUAACACGUGGGCAACCUGCCUGUAAGACUGGGAUAACUUCGGGAAACCGAAGCUAAUACCGGAUAGGAUCUUCUCCUUCAUGGGAGAUGAUUGAAAGAUGGUUUCGGCUAUCACUUACAGAUGGGCCCGCGGUGCAUUAGCUAGUUGGUGAGGUAACGGCUCACCAAGGCAACGAUGCAUAGCCGACCUGAGAGGGUGAUCGGCCACACUGGGACUGAGACACGGCCCAGACUCCUACGGGAGGCAGCAGUAGGGAAUCUUCCGCAAUGGACGAAAGUCUGACGGAGCAACGCCGCGUGAGUGAUGAAGGCUUUCGGGUCGUAAAACUCUGUUGUUAGGGAAGAACAAGUACAAGAGUAACUGCUUGUACCUUGACGGUACCUAACCAGAAAGCCACGGCUAACUACGUGCCAGCAGCCGCGGUAAUACGUAGGUGGCAAGCGUUAUCCGGAAUUAUUGGGCGUAAAGCGCGCGCAGGCGGUUUCUUAAGUCUGAUGUGAAAGCCCACGGCUCAACCGUGGAGGGUCAUUGGAAACUGGGGAACUUGAGUGCAGAAGAGAAAAGCGGAAUUC
Molecule: ribosomal RNA, 631 nt
Filed under: Bacillus sp. FJAT-4423
Lineage: Bacteria; Bacillati; Bacillota; Bacilli; Caryophanales; Bacillaceae
Description: bacterial SSU rRNA
Rfam family: Bacterial small subunit ribosomal RNA
Source: RNAcentral